GGGGUUGUAGCUCAGUGGUAGAGCACUUGCCUCGCAUUCAUGAGGCACUGGGUUUGAUCCUCAGCACCA
This 69-nucleotide transfer RNA is filed under the name Urocitellus parryii (Arctic ground squirrel). RNAcentral's name for it is "Spermophilus parryii (Arctic ground squirrel) tRNA". It matches the Rfam family "tRNA". From Rfam's summary of the family: Transfer RNA (tRNA) molecules are approximately 80 nucleotides in length. Their secondary structure includes four short double-helical elements and three loops (D, anti-codon, and T loops). The record is from Rfam by way of RNAcentral. Lineage: Eukaryota; Metazoa; Chordata; Mammalia; Rodentia; Sciuridae. RNAcentral also lists the same sequence under 1 other name.